AGUGAACGCUGGCGGUAGGCCUAACACAUGCAAGUCGAACGGCAGCACAGUAAGAGCUUGCUCUUACGGGUGGCGAGUGGCGGACGGGUGAGGAAUACAUCGGAAUCUACUUUUUCGUGGGUGAUAACGUAGGGAAACUUGCGCUAAUACCGCAUACGACCUACGGGUGAAAGCAUGGGAUCUUCGGACCUUGCGCGAUUGAAUGAGCCGAUGUCGGAUUAGCUAGUUGGCGGGGUAAAGGCCCACCAAGGCGACGAUCCGUAGCUGGUCUGAGAGGAUGAUCAGCCACACUGGAACUGAGACACGGUCCAGACUCCUACGGGAGGCAGCAGUGGGGAAUAUUGGACAAUGGGCGCAAGCCUGAUCCAGCCAUACCGCGUGGGUGAAGAAGGCCUUCGGGUUGUAAAGCCCUUUUGUUGGGAAAGAAAAGCAGCAGGUUAAUACCCCGCUGUUCUGACGGUACCCAAAGAAUAAGCACCGGCUAACUUCGUG
RNAcentral lists this ribosomal RNA (492 nucleotides) under uncultured bacterium. RNAcentral describes it as "partial 16S ribosomal RNA". It matches the Rfam family "Bacterial small subunit ribosomal RNA", at positions 29 to 507 of the family's 1533-position model. The record is from RNAcentral.